Long non-coding RNA from Brassica rapa (field mustard), 3842 nucleotides. RefSeq lists it as uncharacterized. NCBI's taxonomy places the organism in Eukaryota, Viridiplantae, Streptophyta, Magnoliopsida, Brassicales, Brassicaceae. The record is from RefSeq and is a predicted model, not a curated record.
UGCUAAUUAAGGAUCGGUUACAAGGCUUUAAUUUAUUUUUUAUUUAAAUAAAUCACUCUAUAACCUAAAAACCCUGCUAAGGAUCGCCUAAUAAUGGUGGUCUUAGAGCAUCCACAAUGGUGUAACCCAUUGUGGAGUCCAUAGGAAUUUUUUAAUAUUUUUUCUUUUUGAAUAGUUAAGAACUCCUGUCAAAAUAGUGUGUCCACUGGUGUACUCCUAGUUGGAGUCCUUAGGGAAUAAAAAAUUAAUUUUUUUGAAUGAGGUAAAAUUAAUUUUUAUAUAUUGCAUGAAUAAAUAUAAAGUUACACUAACUAAACAUAAAGAUACAUUAAUUAAACAAAAAUAUAAAUUAAUUAAACAUAAAGAUACAAUAAUUUAACAUAAACAAGGAAUGAGAAAAAAAAAGAUACAAUAAUCUAUACUAUACUAAAAGCCCUAUAUACUCAAUGGUGAAGCUGCCACGUCACCAAAAAUAAUCAGCCAAUGAGAGAUAACAUUUUUGCCAUGUCACUACUGCUUCCGAAGAAUAAAGCUCGAAACUGGAUUUCCUUUUGGGCUGUCCCUACAUUUACGUACGGCCCAUAUCAAGUCCAAUCUUGCCUAGCUCUAACUUUGUCUGAAGCAUCCAGAGUUCAUCUUCCCGUCUCUUCCACUUCGUCUUCAACCCCGUUACUGCAAGCUCCUAUCAAUCAUUUAUGCUCUUUAAAUGUCUUCUUUAUUGUAAAUACCAAUUUAUCCAUUAAUCUAAGCAUUUACGAGUUCUCCAUCACUACUUCUACUCUCUCGCAUUAAAGUGGAAUUAGCAUCCUCCACCGUAGCUCCGCUUAUAAAUGGGUUCGUUGCCUGCGUUGAACAGCCAUACCACUGCGAAAUCUCGAAGAUCACUCUCUGUCAAGCAUCAACUCUAUUUAUGGCUGAUUCGUUCACUCUUCGUCCCGGCCCCAUACUAUUGGAUCGACUUCUAUUGAUUCCGUAUGAUGUUAUUUAUUGCAAUUAAUCAUACCUUUGGUUGUCGACAUUUUUUUGGUUGAUGAGAUUCAGAUUUGUGUUUAAAUUUUGUACUAUACUAAAAGCCCUAUAUACUCAAUGGUGAGGCUGCCACGUCACCAAAAAUAAUCAGCCAAUGAGAGAUAACAUUUUUGCCAUGUCACUACUGCUUCCGAAGAAUAAAGCUCGAAACUGGAUUUCCUUUUGGGCUGUCCCUACAUUUACGUACGGCCCAUAUCAAGUCCAAUCUUGCCUAGCUCUAACUUUGUCUGAAGCAUCCAGAGUUCAUCUUUCCGUCUCUUCCACUUCGUCUUCAACCCCGUUACUGCAAGCUCCUAUCAAUCAUUUAUGCUCUUUAAAUGUCUUCUUUAUUGUAAAUACCAAUUUAUCCAUUAAUCUAAGCAUUUACGAGUUCUCCAUCACUACUUCUACUCUCUCGCAUUAAAGUGGAAUUAGCAUCCUCCACCGUAGCUCCGCUUAUAAAUGGGUUCGUUGCCUGCGUUGAACAGCCAUACCACUGCGAAAUCUCGAAGAUCACUCUCUGUCAAGCAUCAACUCUAUUUAUGGCUGAUUCGUUCACUCUUCGUCCCGGCCCCAUACUAUUGGAUCGACUUCUAUUGAUUCCGUAUGAUGUUAUUUAUUGCAAUUAAUCAUACCUUUGGUUGUCGACAUUUUUUUGGUUGAUGAGAUUCAGAUUUGUGUUUAAAUUUUGAAACCAGCAUUGAAGAAUGCGGCCGGAUCUAAAUCGAGUGGGAGCUCUUUGGACGAUGAUGAUGAGGAUGAGGACGAUGACGUCUGUGAUUGGGGGUUUGUGGUGAGGAAGAAGAGUGGAGUGGAUGAGGUAUAUCCGACUGGAGGUGAAGGGUCGUCGUGUAGGGAGCUGGCGAGAGUGAUUCUGAAGUUGGGAGAGGUGUACGAGAGGAUCGAAGGUGCGAAGCAGGGAUGAUGGUUGAGUUGGAGAAACAGAGGAUGGAAGCUGCUAAGGAGAUUGAGUUGAAACGAAUGAACAUGUUGAUGGAUAUGCAGAUGGAGCUUGAAAGAUCCAAGCUUGCCAAACGUAGAACUGCUGCUUCAGUUAAGAAGUUGUAGGAUUAAAAUUGUGGAGAAGCUAUACUGUGGUAGAGCAAGGGAGCAAUGGUUGGAUCUGAGAGCUCAUUUUGAAUUGGAGAAACUGUUAUUAUUCUUACUCACUAGGUUUCAUGUUAGAGCAAUGUUUUUUUUUUCUUCUUCUUAUUCUGUUUCCUUCUCUUAAAGCAGGUUGGUGAAAGAAACUCUGGUAGUAUCCCACAGACAUAUCAACGUGUAUUUGACACUGUCAAGUGUUAAUAUAUUAUGGUUUCUGUAUCAAUACCUGCGGAGUGCUCUUUGCUCUUUUUGUGUAAUCAUGUCUCAGAGUUGCCUACAGAUUUCAGAGCCAUUCAUGUUCUUCCAUAAUUAACAUUUGGAACAGAUCAAAACACACCAAGCUAUUGAUAGAGCACAAGUAGUGUAUUAUUAUUGAAUUGGAAGGAGUUAUAAUCUCAGGAGCACGAAUGAGACCUUAUCUCAGGAUCCCAUACACAUGAGAUUUCUCUCAGUUCAUCAACCGGCCUUAGUCACCCGAAUAAAUAUCAAGCUAAUCGUCUCAUUACUUAUUGGUAUUAUACGGUUUCUUUGAACACUCAGACUCCCAUUUCUUAAAUAAAAAUCAUGACGACAAAUCAGCGAUUAUAGUGACUAAAUGCCAGGUAGAAAAAUGGUUUUCAGAAAAUUACUACAUUUUCAUGUGAAGCUUAAGAUACCAGAAUUGAUGAAAGUUAGGACAAAGAUUAUGUCAAGACAUACAAAAUCAUAUAUAUAAAGAUAAAUAGAGAAUUAAUAUCAAUAUAUCGACCCUCAUAAUAAUUAAAAGAAAAUUAAUUUCAAAUUUAAUGUAUAUUUUUAUUUAUAAAAUAUUGGUAUUAACUAUAAAUAAUUUUAUACAUUUAGAGUAUUUCCACCCCUACCUAUUUCUUAUUAUAAAUUAGCAAAAUAACAAAUGAAAUUUAAAAUUAGAUAAAAAUACAUAAUAAAGGCCAAUACCAUAAUAUAACCUAAAAUGUAUAAAUUUCAAGAAUAAACAAUGCAAUAUUAAUGAAUUACAGUAGUUAAAAUGAGAUAAUUUGAGAACAAGUUGUUGCAGAAAGUUUAAAACAAACCAAAUAAAUAUAGAAAUAAUUGUAACACAUCAAAACUAAAAAUGAAAUUUAAAAAACACAAUAUCAGCAAAACGAAAUACAAUGUGAAUAGGAAAAUUGUCAAAUACACCACAUUCAUAAUGCUACUUUUCAUAUUUACACUAAUUAUUUUUACCUUCAUUUUUAAAAAGGAAAAAAAGACAUUUAUAACCAUAGAGUUAACUAAUCUAGACUUGGAGUUUAUAGUUGACGGAUGGGGUAGAGUUUUUGGAGUGUGAAUUUUAGGAUUCUAAUAAAUAUAUAAAUAAAUACUUAAAUAAUACAAAAAACUUUUAGAAAAUAGUUUCAAAAAUCAUUUCAAUUUUCAAAAAUUCAAAAAAAUAAGUUCGAAUUUCAAAAGUAUAAUUUGAAACAUAAAUUUAUUUAUUUAUUUAUUAUAUAUAGAGAAAAUAAAUGUACAAGAGUCUUUUGACUCUUAAUAAAGAACAUAUUUUUCAAGAUGUAUCUUUAGUAGUGGUAAACAUGAAUAAUUAUACCAAAAAAAUGGUAAACAUGAAAAUUUUCCAUGUGAAUAACACAAAUAUCAAAGUCAUACAACAUAAUCACAAAACAAACACAUCCUCUUUAACAUAUUUCAAAACAAACUAAUACACUACUAUCACUAAUCAAUUAUCAUAUGGAUCAAAAAAAAAUUUAAAU